CCUACGGGGGGCUGCAGUGGGGAACAUUGCACAAUGGGCGCAAGCCUGAUGCAGCCAUGCCCCGUGUGUGAAGAAGGCCUUCGGGUUGUAAAGCACUUUCAGCGGGGAGGAAGGCGGUGAGGUUAAUAACCUCAUCGAUUGACGUUACCCGCAGAAGAAGCACCGGCUAACUCCGUGCCAGCAGCCGCGGUAAUACGGAGGGUGCAAGCGUUAAUCGGAAUUACUGGGCGUAAAGCGCACGCAGGCGGUCUGUCAAGUCGGAUGUGAAAUCCCCGGGCUCAACCUGGGAACUGCAUUCGAAACUGGCAGGCUAGAGUCUUGUAGAGGGGGGUAGAAUUCCAGGUGUAGCGGUGAAAUGCGUAGAGAUCUGGAGGAAUACCGGUGGCGAAGGCGGCCCCCUGGACAAAGACUGACGCUCAGGUGCGAAAGCGUGGGGAGCAAACAGGAUUAGAUACCCCAGUAGUC
RNAcentral lists this ribosomal RNA (465 nucleotides) under uncultured Klebsiella sp. RNAcentral's name for it is "bacterial SSU rRNA". It matches the Rfam family "Bacterial small subunit ribosomal RNA", at positions 338 to 795 of the family's 1533-position model. The record is from RNAcentral. Lineage: Bacteria; Pseudomonadati; Pseudomonadota; Gammaproteobacteria; Enterobacterales; Enterobacteriaceae.